CUGCCGGGAAAGCGAUGGCGGCGGCAGCGGGAUCUGCUCCGACUCUGUGCACCUGAGAAAUGUCCCGGAGGUGAGCCCAGAGCUGGCCCUGAGGUGGCCCUGAGAAGAAGUGGAAGGCAGAGGUGGUGCUGAGGCAGGAGAGCCCCGUGCUGGGGAAGAGGCUGAUCUGGGAGUGCCCAGCAGCGAGAAGGUGCUGUGUGCAUGCCCUGUGUGCCAGGAUUUGUCCUUCCCAAAGCUUGGGCGGAUGGAGGAGGAGGCUGUGAGGAAGAGGAAGAUUCCGCAGGCC
This is a long non-coding RNA of Myiozetetes cayanensis, 286 nucleotides long. RefSeq lists it as uncharacterized. The record is from RefSeq and is a predicted model, not a curated record. The transcript has 3 exons. NCBI's taxonomy places the organism in Eukaryota, Metazoa, Chordata, Aves, Passeriformes, Tyrannidae.